This 618-nucleotide long non-coding RNA is filed under the name Dermacentor andersoni. RNAcentral describes it as "uncharacterized LOC126517422". The record is from RNAcentral. Lineage: Eukaryota; Metazoa; Arthropoda; Arachnida; Ixodida; Ixodidae.
CUUCUAAAGGACCACAGAAUGACUGAAAGGAUGCUGGCUCCCCAUUUAUGUAGGACAUUCCGGUGGCUCGUGGUUCGAACAAAGCAGGGAUGAACAGCCGGGUCAAGCUGCGUUUUCCAGCAGACGAGGACUCAAGGACGAAUGUGCAUUGAGGCCUGUAUAGAAAUCAAGGCCUGCUUCCCUGUGUUCUAGGUGGUCAUUUUCCAGCCGGACACUGCUGGCAUCGGCAAGACUUGUCACCCGCCCACACGUCGCGCUCUCUGCGAGUGAAACUGCAAGAUCUCGGCGUCAUGACACUGUAGGUUGGCGGCCGUUAGCAGCACAUACGAAUACUAUUCAAAACAUUUGGGGCAUAAGGAAACUCAACCUGUCAAGGAUGUAGGCCCAUCACGCAAGUUGUGACGAAUUGUGGGCUGCGAAUGAACAGUGGGAGGCCCUGAAAACGGAACCCCGACACCGUUCCAGCACUCUACGACUCGCUGCCGCGUCGUGUUGCCGAGCUCGUCUACUCUGCCGGUGACCUUUCUUCGUAUUGACAGAUCAUACAAAUGCACGGAAUGAAGCAUUCUCUCCAUUUUUUAAGUUGAAUAAACAGCAAAAUAAAGUUGUUUGUCCUGA